RNAcentral lists this ribosomal RNA (466 nucleotides) under uncultured bacterium. RNAcentral's name for it is "partial 16S ribosomal RNA". It matches the Rfam family "Bacterial small subunit ribosomal RNA", at positions 28 to 507 of the family's 1533-position model. The record is from RNAcentral.
GACGAACGCUGGCGGCGUGCUUAACACAUGCAAGUCGAACGGUAAGGCUCCAGCUUGCUGGGGUACACGAGUGGCGAACGGGUGAGUAACACGUGGGUGACCUGCCCUGCACUUCGGGAUAAGCCUGGGAAACUGGGUCUAAUACCGGAUAGGACCAUGGUGUGGAUACUGUGGUGGAAAGUUUUUUCGGUGUGGGAUGGGCCCGCGGCCUAUCAGCUUGUUGGUGGGGUAAUGGCCUACCAAGGCGGCGACGGGUAGCCGGCCUGAGAGGGUGGACGGCCACAUCGGGACUGAGACACGGCCCAGACUCCUACGGGAGGCAGCAGUGGGGAAUAUUGCACAAUGGGCGGAAGCCUGAUGCAGCGACGCCGCGUGGGGGAUGACGGCCUUCGGGUUGUAAACUCCUUUCACCAUCGACGAAGGGUUUCUGACGGUAGAUGGAGAAGAAGCACCGGCUAACUACGUG